Molecule: ribosomal RNA, 253 nt
Filed under: uncultured bacterium
Lineage: Bacteria
Description: partial 16S ribosomal RNA
Rfam family: Bacterial small subunit ribosomal RNA
Source: RNAcentral
UACGAAGGACCCGAGCGUUAUCCGGAUUUAUUGGGUUUAAAGGGUGCGUAGGCGGACACGCAAGUCAGUGGUGAAAUCUCCCAGCUUAACUGGGAAACUGCCAUUGAAACUAUGUGUCUUGAGUACAUUUGAGGCGGGCGGAAUGUGUCAUGUAGAGGUGAAAUUCUUAGAUAUGACACAGAACACCAAUUGCGAAGGCAGCUCGCUAAACUGUAACUGACGCUGAGGCACGAAAGCGUGGGGAUCAAACAGG